Daphnia pulex (common water flea) is the source of this 738-nucleotide long non-coding RNA. RefSeq lists it as uncharacterized. Lineage: Eukaryota; Metazoa; Arthropoda; Branchiopoda; Diplostraca; Daphniidae. The transcript has 2 exons. The record is from RefSeq and is a predicted model, not a curated record.
UUCAACCUUUUAUUGGCGGUUCAAGUUCAAUACGUUGUUUCUUGUUUAUAAAUAGACGUCUGGCAUGUGUCAGACAGCUUCCCUUUAAAGACGGGAAGAUUUUGUCACUCGUCUCAGACCCGUUUCUUUGCUUGAGCCGUUUCGACACGAUUACUCAGUUCUCUAAAUUAUUGCCAGUUGCCCAGUUCGUAACAAUAACAAGAAUGUCGAAUGGAAAGUCUUUAAAAAUUACGGCUGAGGACAAAGACGGAGUUCGCACAAGAUCUACUGUUAUUCGAUCGGAAAAUUUCGGUCACGGAUCAAAAGUUUCCAUAUCCAGUGAAGAGAAAAGACAGAUGGGAGCAGGCAGAGGCAGUGAUGUUAGUCAUGUCUUUGCUAACAUGCUUGGAGGAUCGGGAAAAGACAAAGAUAAUCUUUUCCUAUCAUCCCCAAAUUUCAACAGAGGUGCUUACAAAGAAAAUGAAUUUGAAACCAGGAAAUUCAUUAGAACUACCGAAAAGUAUCACCCAGGAAAACAAGUAGAAGCUCACACAAAGGUCACCAUACACCCCAGCAGCAAUUCGGGAGCCGAUCCUCGCAUGAAGUAUGAUGUCACCUCGCACAUUGACGGCAAAGAAGGGCCAAGUUACACUACGUUUUUUAAUUUUUUUGGCAAGAAAUGAGGUCAACUGCGAUGGGGAUUUUCAAUCGAAGAUCAUAUAUAUUCAAUUAUUCAAAUAAAAAGUUCGCUACUUUAAA